GAGAUAACCAAAUAGUUAUUUUGGCGAUCACUAGUCUGAGAGCCCUCGCUCAACAUGGUCUCAGAACAUCUGUACAGUAGAUCACACGCUCCUAUAUAGCCUAAGAGCACUCGCUCUAAAUCACAUCACAUUAUCUAUAUAUUAGAUCAGACGCUACUAUACAGCGAGAGAGACCUCGCUCCGAAUCACAUGGAAAAUGAAAUUAUUGGAUUCCUCAACAUACUAUUAAAGUUCUACGUAUAUACGCACAAUACAAUACUAAUCCCCCACCUGUAAGCAGAGCCGAAACCUCUAAUCCUGACUUGAUGUGAUUCCCCUUGCUGCCACGACUCCAUAGCUUCUGACUGUGCAUCGUUUGGAGUCCAAAAGAUUGAGUUAGCCUAUGACUUUGCAACAAUCUGAAACUUGGCAGGAUAGAAACGUUACGCUACUCCUCCAUUGCCCUCCGUUACAUUACCUGAUCCGGAACUUCUUGACGUUGACAAAACAGACUCAUUUUCUUUAGUUUAAACCAUCCAAAAAUUCAGAGCUAUAUAAGCAAGACUUAAUAAUAACCAAAUUCAAAGACCAGUCACUUAAUCCAAGUCCUUAAUUAUAAACCAUAAAAAAGUGCAUAUAUGGUACCUCUUCUUCUUUGGUGAAGGGCUCGCAGCAGAUGACCUCCACCCUGAAUCGCGCGAGCAUAUCCAGCGAGCUCCCACAUCAUUGGACUAGCCGAUUCCAUUGCCGAUCACUCCAUCCAAACAUCGUGGCGGCCCCUAAACUCAACGACGAAUCUACCACCUCCUGCCACAGCCCGCCGACCGGAUCUCUCCUCUCAAGACCGCCAUGACCUCCUUCUCCCUUCUCUUUGUCGAUUAUCCCAUCAAGGCCGCUGCCACCUCUUGCUUCCUCCACAAUACUCAUCUCCUAAAGCUCAUCAAUCAUUAUAUCUCGAUCUGUGCUUCCCUCCACAUCAAAG
RNAcentral lists this long non-coding RNA (961 nucleotides) under Linum usitatissimum (flax). RNAcentral's name for it is "long non-coding RNA (LUSI_LNC003788)". Lineage: Eukaryota; Viridiplantae; Streptophyta; Magnoliopsida; Malpighiales; Linaceae. The record is from RNAcentral.